RNAcentral lists this unclassified non-coding RNA (520 nucleotides) under uncultured Glomus. RNAcentral describes it as "SSU rRNA". It matches the Rfam family "Eukaryotic small subunit ribosomal RNA", at positions 569 to 1091 of the family's 1831-position model. The record is from RNAcentral. Lineage: Eukaryota; Fungi; Glomeromycota; Glomeromycetes; Glomerales; Glomeraceae.
AGCAGCCGCGGUAAUUCCAGCUCCAAUAGCGUAUAUUAAAGUUGCUGCAGUUAAAAAGCUCGUAGUUGAAUUUCGGGAUCAAUAUGUUGGUCGUGCCUCGGUACGUACUAGCUUAUUGGUUUCUCCCUUCUGACGAACCAUGAUGUCAUUUAUUUGGUGUUAUGGGAAAUCAGGACUGUUACUUUGAAAAAAAUUAGAGUGUUUAAAGCAGGCUCACGCUUGAAUACAUUAGCAUGGAAUAAUGAAAUAGGACGUUUGAUUCUAUUUUGUUGGUUUCUAGGAUCGACGUAAUGAUUAAUAGGGAUAGUUGGGGGCAUUAGUAUUCAAUUGUCAGAGGUGAAAUUCUUGGAUUUAUUGAAGACUAACUACUGCGAAAGCAUUUGCCAAGGAUGUUUUCAUUAAUCAAGAACGAAAGUUAGGGGAUCGAAGACGAUCAGAUACUGUCGUAGUCUUAACCAUAAAUUAUGCCGACUAGGGAUCGGAUGAUGUUAAUUUUUUAAUGACUCAUUCGGCGCCUUAC